UAUCGGAACGUGCCCUGGAGUGGGGGAUAACUAGUCGAAAGACUAGCUAAUACCGCAUACGAUCUAAGGAUGAAAUGGGGGAUCGCAAGACCUCAUGCUCGUGGAGCGGCCGAUAUCUGAUUAGCUAGUUGGUAGGGUAAAAGCCUACCAAGGCGACGAUCAGUAGCUGGUCUGAGAGGACGACCAGCCACACUGGGACUGAGACACGGCCCAG
This 214-nucleotide ribosomal RNA is filed under the name uncultured bacterium. RNAcentral describes it as "partial 16S ribosomal RNA". It matches the Rfam family "Bacterial small subunit ribosomal RNA", at positions 116 to 334 of the family's 1533-position model. The record is from RNAcentral.